Molecule: ribosomal RNA, 229 nt
Filed under: uncultured bacterium
Lineage: Bacteria
Description: partial 16S ribosomal RNA
Rfam family: Bacterial small subunit ribosomal RNA
Source: RNAcentral
AACGAACGCUGGCGGCGUGCCUAACACAUGCAAGUCGAGCGAGAAAGCUCCUUCGGGAGUGAGUAAAGCGGCGCACGGGUGAGUAACACGUAGGUAACCUACCCUCGAGCCUGGGAUAACCUACCGAAAGGUGGGCUAAUACCGGAUAAUGACCACGGGAGCCACGGCUCCUGCGGUAAAAGAUGGCCAAAGCUUGCAAGCUAUCACUUGAAGAUGGGCCUGCGCACCA